UACGGGGGGGGCAAGCGUUGUUCGGAAUUACUGGGCGUAAAGGGCUCGUAGGCGGCCAACUAAGUCAGACGUGAAAUCCCUCGGCUUAACCGGGGAACUGCGUCUGAUACUGGAUGGCUUGAGGUUGGGAGAGGGAUGCGGAAUUCCAGGUGUAGCGGUGAAAUGCGUAGAUAUCUGGAGGAACACCGGUGGCGAAGGCGGCUCUCUGGGACGGUACUGACGCUGAGACGCGAAAGCGUGGGGAGCGAACAGG
Molecule: ribosomal RNA, 253 nt
Filed under: uncultured bacterium
Lineage: Bacteria
Description: partial 16S ribosomal RNA
Rfam family: Bacterial small subunit ribosomal RNA
Source: RNAcentral